CUGCCUACGGGACGCAGCAGUGGGGAAUAUUGCACAAUGGGGGAAACCCUGAUGCAGCGACGCCGCGUGAAGGAAGAAGUAUUUCGGUAUGUAAACUUCUAUCAGCAGGGAAGAAAAUGACGGUACCUGACUAAGAAGCCACGGCUAACUACGUGCCAGCAGCCGCGGUAAUACGUAGGUGGCAAGCGUUGUCCGGAUUUACUGGGCGUAAAGGGCGUGUAGCCGGGCUGACAAGUCAGAUGUGAAAUCCGGGGGCUCAACCCCCGAACUGCAUUUGAAACUGUUGGUCUUGAGUAUCGGAGAGG
This 305-nucleotide ribosomal RNA is filed under the name uncultured bacterium. RNAcentral describes it as "bacterial SSU rRNA". It matches the Rfam family "Bacterial small subunit ribosomal RNA", at positions 335 to 657 of the family's 1533-position model. The record is from RNAcentral.